GGUUUUGGGUUUUUGCAGCUCUGUAACAGUCUAAACCUAACAGUACAGACACGGGCUACCACACCCUGUUCUUACUGUCUCUCUGGAUUAACAUCCCUGGAUGCUGCCCUUGGUUUGGGUCUCCCUCAAUUGAGAAUGAUGAUUUCACAGACUAGAGUCUCUGACUCUGCCCUUGAUGUCAACUAUAAAUCUGACUCAUUUGGGGAACCUGAAUUCUUACUCCUCUUCCUUGAGAUGGAACCAUGUUCCAGCACUGGCUCUAUUGAGGUACAUGCCCUGUUCCUGCUUCUCAUCGAUUGUCUUAAUUAACUCUUCCAGGGCGAUGUCUGAAGGCCGCCCAGGGGCCCCAUCCCCUCACCUAGAUGUGGGCUAACCUAGGACCCAGACUAAGGUGGAGUUCCUACAAGUGACUAGAAUGUCAUGAUCAUCUCAUUGUCUAACAAGCCCUUUGUCCUCUGUGCUGGGAAGGCCUUAGCUGCUACUCAAAACUGACAAGUUGGACUCCUUUUUACUACUGCCUUGUUGCCAGCUAUCCGAGCGUGAAAGGCCGCAAAGCCGUGGGUGCUGGCUGUCCCACAUCACAGGCAUGGCAGGUGGCAGCCCAGACUGAACCAGAGCCUCACUUGAACAUGAGCAUUAGCCAAUGUAAUAAAAGCCUACCUUGCCUGAAGUGUAUCUGUUUUUCUGCUUACAAUGGCUUGCAAUGGAAGUGCAUGGUUUCCUGCUUCUAAUAAAAUCCUUUAAAAG
Molecule: long non-coding RNA, 747 nt
Filed under: Rattus norvegicus (Norway rat)
Lineage: Eukaryota; Metazoa; Chordata; Mammalia; Rodentia; Muridae
Description: long non-coding RNA NONRATT034037
Rfam family: Small nucleolar RNA SNORD52 (bases 132-197)
Source: RNAcentral